Molecule: long non-coding RNA, 287 nt
Organism: Paramacrobiotus metropolitanus
Lineage: Eukaryota; Metazoa; Tardigrada; Eutardigrada; Parachela; Macrobiotidae
Exons: 3
Source: RefSeq, a predicted model, not a curated record
CGCACUUUGGAGAUUUUGGGAGAGCUGAACGGAUACAUCAUCUAUAAGGUCAACAAUGUGGAAACAGACGGUUACAAAGAUCAUGAAGAGGCGUUCCGGAAAGGAGUGCGUCUGGGAUGUAGUGAAAUUUCGGACGUCCUGAAUAAGUUGAAAGCGGGAACUAUCCAAGCAGCGAUGGACAAGGCAAUCACAAGCAAAUCUGCGGAAAAGGUCACUCUUGCCGGACCUGCUUAUUCCAUACCGAGGAUUUUUGGAUGUAGCUCGCAUUGUACAGGACAGCUUCUGGG